RNAcentral lists this ribosomal RNA (497 nucleotides) under uncultured bacterium. Its description in RNAcentral is "partial 16S ribosomal RNA". It matches the Rfam family "Bacterial small subunit ribosomal RNA", at positions 28 to 507 of the family's 1533-position model. The record is from RNAcentral.
GAUGAACGCUGGCGGCGUGCCUAAUACAUGCAAGUCGAGCGAACAGAUGAGGAGCUUGCUCCUCUGACGUUAGCGGCGGACGGGUAAGUAACACGUGGAUAACCUACCUAUAAGACUGGGAUAACUUCGGGAAACCGGAGCUAAUACCGGAUAAUAUAUUGAACCGCAUGGUUCAAUAGUGAAAGACGGUUUUGCUGUCACUUAUAGAUGGAUCCGCGCCGCAUUAGCUAGUUGGUAAGGUAACGGCUUACCAAGGCAACGAUGCGUAGCCGACCUGAGAGGGUGAUCGGCCACACUGGAACUGAGACACGGUCCAGACUCCUACGGGAGGCAGCAGUAGGGAAUCUUCCGCAAUGGGCGAAAGCCUGACGGAGCAACGCCGCGUGAGUGAUGAAGGUCUUCGGAUCGUAAAACUCUGUUAUUGGGGAAGAACAAAUGUGUAAGUAACUAUGCACGUCUUGACGGUACCUAAUCAGAAAGCCACGGCUAACUACGUG